Molecule: ribosomal RNA, 1290 nt
Filed under: metagenome
Description: bacterial SSU rRNA
Rfam family: Bacterial small subunit ribosomal RNA
Source: RNAcentral
GUCGCGUCUGGAAAGAUUUAUCGGUGAAGGAUGGGCUCGCGGCCUAUCAGCUUGUUGGUGGGGUAGUGGCCCACCAAGGCGACGACGGGUAGCCGGCCUGAGAGGGCGACCGGCCACACUGGGACUGAGACACGGCCCAGACUCCCGGAGGCAGCAGUGGGGAAUAUUGCACAAUGGGCGCAAGCCUGAUGCAGCGACGCCGCGUGAGGGAUGACGGCCUUCGGGUUGUAAACCUCUUUCAGCAGGGAAGAAGCGAAAGUGACGGUACCUGCAGAAGAAGCGCCGGCUAACUACGUGCCAGCAGCCGCGGUAAUACGUAGGGCGCAAGCGUUGUCCGGAAUUAUUGGGCGUAAAGAGCUCGUAGGCGGUUUGUCGCGUCUGCUGUGAAAACCUAAGGCUCAACCUUGGGCUUGCAGUGGGUACGGGCAGACUAGAGUGCGGUAGGGGUGACUGGAAUUCCUGGUGUAGCGGUGGAAUGCGCAGAUAUCAGGAGGAACACCGAUGGCGAAGGCAGGUCACUGGGCCGCAACUGACGCUGAGGAGCGAAAGCAUGGGGAGCGAACAGGAUUAGAUACCCUGGUAGUCCAUGCCGUAAACGUUGGGCACUAGGUGUGGGGCUCAUUCCACGAGUUCCGUGCCGCAGCAAACGCAUUAAGUGCCCCGCCUGGGGAGUACGGCCGCAAGGCUAAAACUCAAAGAAAUUGACGGGGGCCCGCACAAGCGGCGGAGCAUGCGGAUUAAUUCGAUGCAACGCGAAGAACCUUACCAAGGCUUGACAUACACCGGAAAAGUGCAGAGAUGUGCUCCCCGCAAGGUCGGUGUACAGGUGGUGCAUGGUUGUCGUCAGCUCGUGUCGUGAGAUGUUGGGUUAAGUCCCGCAACGAGCGCAACCCUCGUCCCAUGUUGCCAGCGGGUUAUGCCGGGGACUCAUGGGAGACUGCCGGGGUCAACUCGGAGGAAGGUGGGGAUGACGUCAAAUCAUCAUGCCCCUUAUGUCUUGGGCUUCACGCAUGCUACAAUGGCCGGUACAAAGGGCUGCGAUACCGCGAGGUGGAGCGAAUCCCAAAAAGCCGGUCUCGGUUCGGAUUGGGGUCUGCAACUCGACCCCAUGAAGUCGGAGUCGCUAGUAAUCGCAGAUCAGCAACGCUGCGGUGAAUACGUUCCCGGGCCUUGUACACACCGCCCGUAAAGUCACGAAAGUCGGUAACACCCGAAGCCAGUGGCCCAACUCGUAAGAGAGGGAGCUGUCGAAGGUGGGACUGGCGAUUGGGACUAAGUCGUAACAAGGUA